Non-coding RNA from Paramuricea clavata, 1468 nucleotides. The record is from the annotation of a GenBank genome assembly. Lineage: Eukaryota; Metazoa; Cnidaria; Anthozoa; Malacalcyonacea; Plexauridae.
UUGUGAUGAUAGUUUAGUUUCAACGAGCAAUCCGGACACAGCCCUGAAAUACAAUUAAUGAUAAAAAGGUUAUUCCAGCAACAUGUAACAAGUCUGCACGUAACAAAUUGUUAACAAGUUGAUGACAACAAGCUCGUAGCAACUUGUGACAAACAGCUUCUAUCAGUGUUGUUGGAACAACUUGUUGCAAGCCUGUUACUGCCAUCAACCUUGUAACAAGGUGAUAACAACUUGUUCCAGACUUGUCACAACAACUGGGAAAAAGCAGUACGAACACAUCCUGAUAUCGGCUUGAUUGUUGUCAACCUCUUGCAGACCUUGUUACAACUUGUUCCAGACUUGUCACAACAACUGGGAAAAAGCAGUACGAACACAUCCUGAUAUCGGCUUGAUUGUUGUCAACCUCUUCACCUUGUUACAACUUGUUCCAGACUUGUCACAACAACUGGGAAAAAGCAGUACGAACACAUCCUGAUAUCGACUUGAUUGUUGUCAACCUCUUCACCUUGUUACAACUUGUUCCAGACUUGUCACAACAACUGGGAAAAAGCAGUGCGAACACAUCCUGAUAUCGACUUGAUUGUUGUCAACCUCUUGCAGACUUUGUUACAACUUGUUCCAGACUUGUCACAACAACUGGGAAAAAGCAGUACAAACACAUCCUGAUAUCGGCUUGAUUGUUGUCAACCUCUUGCAGACCUUGUUAUAACUUGUUCCAGACUUGUCACAACAACUGGGAAAAAGCAGUACGAACACAUCCUGAUAUCGGCUUGAUUGUUGUCAACCUCUUGCAGACUUUGUUACAACUUGUUUGCAGAUCUGAAACAACUUCCGCAAACUUAAAGGGGAAAUGUCACCGAUUUUUGACCUAAAAUGCCUUUUAUUCAAAAACUGAACUACAAAGUUAAAACUAAACAUUGUAAAUGGAUUAAGUUAUGAUAUAUGAGUCAUAUUAAACAACUUUGAACGUACACGCAACAUGUAACACGACAUUUUCAUAAAAAUUGACUAAAACUUGAAAAAGUGUCUGCCAACAAUUAAUCAAGAUGCCAUUUACAAUCCAUCUCAAUCCUGGCGUAAUCUUGCCCAUCCAGACUUCUGUACAUGUUUUUUUGUGUCUGUUAUUGCUUUAUUGUGUGCUUACACUCAUUCUUUUUCAGUUUUGGGCAAAAUUUGCGAGAGUUAGAAUUUCUCAAAAAUCGGUGACAUUGCCCCAACCCACCAGUUUCGAAAGACACUAUAGCUGGGAUUGAUGUAUCUAAGUAUACCGCACAUAGCAGCCGGGCGACGGCAACCUCACAUGCAAAGUCUAAACGACUUGCAGUGCAAGAGAUAAUGAAAUGUGCUGGCUGGUCUUCAGACACAAUUGUUGCUAGAUUUUGCAAGAAACCGGUACAAACUUCGCAAAAUUUUAGCUAAGUCGUUCUCGGUAAUCGAACUUGACUGUGUAUAGAUAUUUAAUGUUCAU